RNAcentral lists this long non-coding RNA (878 nucleotides) under Rattus norvegicus (Norway rat). RNAcentral describes it as "long non-coding RNA NONRATT016174". Lineage: Eukaryota; Metazoa; Chordata; Mammalia; Rodentia; Muridae. The record is from RNAcentral.
AGUAUUCAGCAGGCCGAAAUGGGAGCAGCAAUGGACGCACUUGAGAAAUGUAAGCCAUCUCUUUUCCUAUAGCCACACCUGUAUAAUGUAAUGCAUAUUUUAUGGAAGGAAAAUGAAGUAGAGGAGAGGUUAAGUUUUGAUAAAAUGUGGCCGAUUGUUGUUAAUAAUUUUCCUCCAUACAGUAGAGUACAGUAGAGUAUGUGCUGUGUAUACAGCAGAUUGCACUUUUCGUUGGAGUCCUCAGCGUGGUUUACAUUUUCCUUUAUACGCGGAGCUCUACUCAGCAGAGGCACCUCUAAGUGGCCUUCUGCUUCUGACGGCGUUUCCCACACUUUUGAUGGCGAGUAAGCCAGCCAUGGUGACACAUGCACUUGGGAGGUAGAUUCAUGGGAUCAGGGGUUAAGGUCACCUCAAGCUACAUUGUGAGGUCAAGGUGAGCCCGGGCCACAUGAGAGCUCAUCUCAAAACAAAACAAACAAAAUAAAAUUAAAAAUCUGUGAAAGCUAGGUGGCACACACCUUUAAUCCCAGCACUCAGGAGGUAGAAACAACAGAUCUUUGAAUUCAAGGCCAGCCUGGUCUAUACAGAGAAACUCUAUUUGGAAAAAAAAUCUUAUGUAGGCAUAAAUGCAUACAAGGGAAGUUUUUUUGUUUGUUUAUCUGUUUAGUUUUUAACCAUUGUCUUAUUUAAAUUGGAUGGCAACUACAUACUUCUGCAUACAUUUUCAUGCUAAUGUAUGUAUAUAAUAUACCUCACUUUUGCCCAGCAGCCCUGCAAGUCAUAGAGCAUAGAGAAUUCUUUUUAUUGUGGUUACUUCGCAUGUAUGCAUAUGUAUGUGUGUUCAGUGUCUACAAUAAACGUCUAGAUUGUGGUGCAUU